RNAcentral lists this ribosomal RNA (432 nucleotides) under uncultured bacterium. Its description in RNAcentral is "partial 16S ribosomal RNA". It matches the Rfam family "Bacterial small subunit ribosomal RNA", at positions 338 to 795 of the family's 1533-position model. The record is from RNAcentral.
CCUACGGGAGGCAGCAGUGGGGAAUAUUGGACAAUGGGGGAAACCCUGAUCCAGCGACGCCGCGUGUGUGAAGAAGGCCUGCGGGUUGUAAAGCACUUUUAGUGGGGACAUUUAACUCACAGAAAAAGCACCGGCUAACUCUGUGCCAGCAGCCGCGGUAAUACAGAGGGUGCGAGCGUUAAUCGGAAUUACUGGGCGUAAAGCGCGCGUAGACGGUUUGGUAAGUCAGAUGUGAAAUCCCCGGGCUCAACCUGGGAACUGCAUUUGAUACUGCCUGGCUAGAGUAUCGAAGAGGGAAGUGGAAUUUCCGGUGUAGCGGUGAAAUGCGUAGAUAUCGGAAGGAACACCAGUGGCGAAAGCGACUUCCUGGUCGAAACUGACGUUCAUGUGCGAAAGCGUGGGGAGCAAACAGGAUUAGAUACCCUUGUAGUC